Molecule: ribosomal RNA, 253 nt
Filed under: uncultured bacterium
Lineage: Bacteria
Description: partial 16S ribosomal RNA
Rfam family: Bacterial small subunit ribosomal RNA
Source: RNAcentral
UACGUAGGGUGCAAGCGUUAAUCGGAAUUACUGGGCGUAAAGCGUGCGCAGGCGGUUGUGCAAGACAGAUGUGAAAUCCCCGGGCUCAACCUGGGAAUUGCAUUUGCGACUGCACGGCUAGAGUGUGUCAGAGGGGGGUAGAAUUCCACGUGUAGCAGUGAAAUGCGUAGAGAUGUGGAGGAAUACCGAUGGUGAAGGCAGCCCCCUGGGAUAACACUGACGCUCAUGCACGAAAGCGUGGGGAGCAAACAGG